GCGCGGUUGGUGGAAUUGGUAGACACGCUAGCCUUAGGAGCUAGUGCCGCAAGGCAUGAAGGUUCAAGUCCUUUACCGCGCACCA
RNAcentral lists this transfer RNA (85 nucleotides) under Candidatus Nomurabacteria bacterium. Its description in RNAcentral is "tRNA-Leu". It matches the Rfam family "tRNA". From Rfam's summary of the family: Transfer RNA (tRNA) molecules are approximately 80 nucleotides in length. Their secondary structure includes four short double-helical elements and three loops (D, anti-codon, and T loops). Lineage: Bacteria; Candidatus Nomuraibacteriota. The record is from RNAcentral.